CUUUAAUUCGUUUGGUGGCGGGGGAACUCCAUAAUCAUUCCGAAUUCUGGCAAUGUACUGUCCGAUGUCUGCUCCGUACCCUAUUGGAUUUUUUUAUUUUUUUUGGGGGGGGGAGGGUGAAUACUAGGGGGCUAAAAACUGUCUGAAUAAAUGGAAAUAUAGGGAUAAAGAGUUCAGUAAGAAUUAAGGGAAUGGGAAGUGCAUUAACGGCCCGCAAAAUAUAUUUCGAAAUAAUUUAUUCCCAUAACUCUCUCUUCCGCGUACGGUUGAAUUGAGAACAAAAAAGCUGAUGAAAAUGCGCAAGUAUUUUCAUUAGUGGGGAGAAAUUCACAUGCCGUAUCGGAAGAGGGGAAGGACAAAAGAACGGCUCCGAUGGGCC
Molecule: non-coding RNA, 379 nt
Organism: Paramuricea clavata
Lineage: Eukaryota; Metazoa; Cnidaria; Anthozoa; Malacalcyonacea; Plexauridae
Source: the annotation of a GenBank genome assembly